CCGUGCCAGCAGCCGCGGUAAUACGGAGGGUGCGAGCGUUAAUCGGAAUUACUGGGCGUAAAGCGCAUGCAGGUGGUUUGUUAAGUCAGAUGUGAAAGCCCGGGGCUCAACCUCGGAAUAGCAUUUGAAACUGGCAGACUAGAGUACUGUAGAGGGGGGUAGGAAUUUCAGGUGUAGCGGUGAAAUGCGUAGAGAUCUGAAGGAAUACCGGUGGCGAAGGCGGCCCCCUCGGACAGAUACUGACACUCAGAUGCGAAAGCGUGGGGAGCAAACAGGAUUAGAUACCCUGGUAG
This 293-nucleotide ribosomal RNA is filed under the name uncultured bacterium. Its description in RNAcentral is "partial 16S ribosomal RNA". It matches the Rfam family "Bacterial small subunit ribosomal RNA", at positions 503 to 793 of the family's 1533-position model. The record is from RNAcentral.